This 268-nucleotide ribosomal RNA is filed under the name uncultured bacterium. Its description in RNAcentral is "partial 16S ribosomal RNA". It matches the Rfam family "Bacterial small subunit ribosomal RNA", at positions 524 to 792 of the family's 1533-position model. The record is from RNAcentral.
UACGUAGGGCGCAAGCGUUAUCCGGAAUUAUUGGGCGUAAAGAGCUCGUAGGCGGUUUGUCGCGUCUGCUGUGAAAACUGGAGGCUCAACCUCCAGCCUGCAGUGGGUACGGGCAGACUAGAGUGCGGUAGGGGAGAUUGGAAUUCCUGGUGUAGCGGUGGAAUGCGCAGAUAGUCAGGAGGAACACCGAUGGCGAAGGCAGAUCUCUGGGCCGUAACUGACGCUGAGGAGCGAAAGCAUGGGGAGCGAACAGGAUAGAUACCGAGUA